CUUCCCGGUGUCAGGUGCUGUGCGGCAGUCCAGCGCACCGGAUCGACCGCUGCGCAGAGCCCCGCCCUCUUCUUUCAAUCAGCCAAUGGGAGCAUGCGGGCUUGCACCGCCGCUAUCAACCGACCAAUACCCAUGCGUGAGGUCUGCCCAUUAUGAACUUUUGACCAAUAGGAGAGUUGAGGAACCGUCUCCGCGAGAACAGGGGAGGAGGGCGUGUGGACGCGGUUGUCAAGACGAUAGCGCGCGCGGAGUGGGGACAAGGCUGCAGGUUGCUGGGGAAGGGGCCGGGCGGUCCAAAUUUGUGGGAAGGAGAAGGCCCGGACUGCGGCUUCAAAUUAAGGCAAAACGGAACAGAUCUUAAUAAAUGAACUAAACAGGUGGCCUCUACUGCAGACUGCAAACCUCUGGGUCCCCUUUUCCCCUCACACACUGGGACUGCCUUCACACAGGCCUUCUAACAAGUUUUCGGUGGACACAACAUCUUUGUUUGUAUGUGGUGCUGAGGAUCGAACCUGGGCCGCACUCAUUCCAGGCAAGCGCACUACCACUUGAGCCACAUCCCCAGCCCCAGGUGGGGAUAUUUUCAGCAUGGAAAGAGCACACCUCACUCCAGCAUGGAAGAAGUUGGUAACAGCACUGGAAGCAUACAAGCCCCUCUUGCCUCCAAAUCUGGAUUUUUUGCAGGGUUCCCUCUGUCAAUUAUCUUCCCUCCUUUGCCCGACAAAAGUCCUGCUCAUCCUUCCAACUCCAGCAGGGAAUCUUCUCCCCGAGUUCUGCUUCUGCCUUUCCACAGAAUGGACACAGUCCUCUACCCGUGACUUCCCACUGCUUGGUCUUCAGGGGACCACACACAGAGCCCUUAGGGGAGGGGGUGGCCCUCGGUGUCAGGCAAGCCUGGAUUUGCAUCUCACCUAGUCUCUUGAUGGCUGAGCAGCCUUGGUCACAUGACUUCACCUGCCUGAGUGGCAGGAGCUAGCAAUACCUACCAAUAUCAGAGUAAUACUAUGUCAUAAUAUCUAUCGAUAUCAUGGUAAUAUUGUAUGUAACAUUAUCUGCCAGUGUCACAGAACUGAUAAGGAGACCUGGUGCUUGUAAAUGCAUUCACCUAGGCACACGGCAGGAACUCAGGGCUGGAGCGGCUGUGGGCUUAGCUGGUCCUGGGCCCCACCUGGGAAGGGGGCACGGCAGCCCUCAGCCCAGGCAGCCUCUGCCUGGCGCCCCCCAGGGAGGCCUGAUGCCACCUCCCUACUGAAAACUCACCCACUUAUGAAAAUUCCCACCCACAUAUCGUUGAUUAUCCCUCCAACAAAUGGAUUAAGAGAGACACAACAUUUUAAGAAACCUAUCCUUUAGGGGACUUUCCAGCAUUACCUACUGACCAGAUAAUGGAGGCCACAUCGGCCUGAGGAGCUCAGAGACUGACCAGAGAUGUCAUCUCCAUGCCCCUCCCCAAGCCCGCCCCUCCCCAUGCCCUCCCAAGAGGUCCUGGAACCCCAGUGGGCUUCUCCCUCUCCACCUGACUACCCUGUGCCUUCAGUGUGGGUCCUUCGUUUUCCUAAGCAAACCUCCACGCUGAAACACUCUCCAUCCCCCACGUCCAGGACCAUCCUCAGGAGGGCAUUAGCAGCACUCAGGGCAUCUGGAGACACUUCCAGUGACCUCUCUCUAGUGACAGCGUGGCUUUUCACAGCAUCUGCAACUAGGAGUGACAUUUCCAGGUCCAUCCACACUGAAGCACAGAUGAGCGUUUCAUUCCUUCCUGAUGAGACAAUAUUCCAGGUAUUUCAUGCUGUUGGCAAACUUCGUCCUUCUCCUCAUUCACCUCUCAGCUGAAACCUCCCUCCUCAGGAAGAAUGUCCCCCAUCCCCCUUUCCAAACCAUAGCCACCUUCGCUGGUUGCCUUCCCGACCUGGAGGGCCAUGUAAUGGAUUUAUUCUUCUCAUUAAUCUGUUUUCUUGUUGGGAAAGAACCAGGGACCCCAACGUUAUCAUCUAAAUUGGAACAUUCAACCUCAGGACUCAGAGACUGUAUGAUUCUGAGCAAGUCACGUUGAUUCUCCAUCCCUCACUUGUCAUGUGGGAAUUAAAAUUGUGGGAUUUUGUUGUU
Long non-coding RNA from Marmota monax (woodchuck), 2106 nucleotides. RefSeq lists it as uncharacterized. The transcript has 2 exons. The record is from RefSeq and is a predicted model, not a curated record. Lineage: Eukaryota; Metazoa; Chordata; Mammalia; Rodentia; Sciuridae.